Molecule: ribosomal RNA, 403 nt
Filed under: Verrucomicrobiota bacterium
Lineage: Bacteria; Pseudomonadati; Verrucomicrobiota
Description: Verrucomicrobia bacterium partial 16S ribosomal RNA
Rfam family: Bacterial small subunit ribosomal RNA
Source: RNAcentral
UGGGGAAUAUUGCACAAUGGGGGAAACCCUGAUGCAGCGACGCUGCGUGAGCGAAGAAGGCCUUCGGGUCGUAAAGCUCUUUUAUGAGGGAAGAUAAUGACGGUACCUCAAGAAAAAGCUCUGGCUAACUACGUGCCAGCAGCCGCGGUAAUAAGUAGGGGGCUAGCGUUUUCCGGAAUCACUUGGCGUAAAGGGUUCGCAGGCGGAAUAACAAGUCAGAUGUGAAAGGCAUGGGCUCAACCCAUGUAAGCAUUUGAAACUGUAAUUCUUGAGAAGUGGAGAGGUAAGUGGAAUUCCUAGUGUAGCGGUGAAAUGCGUAGAUAUUAGGAGGAAUACCGGUGGCGAAGGCGACUUUCUGGACUUUUACUGACGCUCAGGUACGAAAGCGUGGGGAGCAAACAGG